AGUGAACGCUGGCGGUAGGCCUAACACGUGCGAGUCGAACGGCAGCACAGUAAGAGCUUGCUCUUACGGGUGGCGGGUGGCGGACGGGUGAGGAAUACAUCGGAAUCUACUUUUUCGUGGGGGAUAACGUAGGGAAACUUACGCUAAUACCGCAUACGACCUACGGGUGAAAGCAGGGGAUCUUCGGACCUUGCGCGAUUGAAUGAGCCGAUGUCGGAUUAGCUAGUUGGCGGGGUAAAGGCCCACCAAGGCGACGAUCCGUAGCUGGUCUGAGAGGAUGAUCAGCCACACUGGAACUGAGACACGGUCCAGACUCCUACGGGAGGCAGCAGUGGGGAAUAUUGGACAAUGGGCGCAAGCCUGAUCCAGCCAUACCGCGUGGGUGAAGAAGGCCUUCGGGUUGUAAAGCCCUUUUGUUGGGAAAGAAAAGCAGCAGGUUAAUACCCCGCUGUUCUGACGGUACCCAAAGAAUAAGCACCGGCUAACUUCGUG
Molecule: ribosomal RNA, 492 nt
Filed under: uncultured bacterium
Lineage: Bacteria
Description: partial 16S ribosomal RNA
Rfam family: Bacterial small subunit ribosomal RNA
Source: RNAcentral